GGGCGGUUCGGCAGCUACACAUGCAGUCGAGCGGUAGCACAGAGAGCUUGCUCUCGGGUGACGAGCGGCGGACGGGUGAGUAAUGUCUGGGAAACUGCCUGAUGGAGGGGGAUAACUACUGGAAACGGUAGCUAAUACCGCAUAACGUCGCAAGACCAAAGUGGGGGACCUUCGGGCCUCAUGCCAUCAGAUGUGCCCAGAUGGGAUUAGCUAGUAGGUGGGGUAACGGCUCACCUAGGCGACGAUCCCUAGCUGGUCUGAGAGGAUGACCAGCCACACUGGAACUGAGACACGGUCCAGACUCCUACGGGAGGCAGCAGUGGGGAAUAUUGCACAAUGGGCGCAAGCCUGAUGCAGCCAUGCCGCGUGUGUGAAGAAGGCCUUCGGGUUGUAAAGCACUUUCAGCGGGGAGGAAGGCGGUGAGGUUAAUAACCUUGUCGAUUGACGUUACCCGCAGAAGAAGCACCGGCUAACUCCGUGCCAGCAGCCGCGGUAAUACGGAGGGUGCAAGCGUUAAUCGGAAUUACUGGGCGUAAAGCGCACGCAGGCGGUCUGUCAAGUCGGAUGUGAAAUCCCCGGGCUCAACCUGGGAACUGCAUUCGAAACUGGCAGGCUAGAGUCUUGUAGAGGGGGGUAGAAUUCCAGGUGUAGCGGUGAAAUGCGUAGAGAUCUGGAGGAAUACCGGUGGCGAAGGCGGCCCCCUGGACAAAGACUGACGCUCAGGUGCGAAAGCGUGGGGAGCAAACAGGAUUAGAUACCCUGGUAGUCCACGCCGUAAACGAUGUCGAUUUGGAGGUUGUGCCCUUGAGGCGUGGCUUCCGGAGCUAACGCGUUAAAUCGACCGCCUGGGGAGUACGGCCGCAAGGUUAAAACUCAAAUGAAUUGACGGGGGCCCGCACAAGCGGUGGAGCAUGUGGUUUAAUUCGAUGCAACGCGAAGAACCUUACCUGGUCUUGACAUCCACAGAACUUUCCAGAGAUGGAUUGGUGCCUUCGGGAACUGUGAGACAGGUGCUGCAUGGCUGUCGUCAGCUCGUGUUGUGAAAUGUUGGGUUAAGUCCCGCAACGAGCGCAACCCUUAUCCUUUGUUGCCAGCGGUCCGGCCGGGAACUCAAAGGAGACUGCCAGUGAUAAACUGGAGGAAGGUGGGGAUGACGUCAAGUCAUCAUGGCCCUUACGACCAGGGCUACACACGUGCUACAAUGGCAUAUACAAAGAGAAGCGACCUCGCGAGAGCAAGCGGACCUCAUAAAGUAUGUCGUAGUCCGGAUUGGAGUCUGCAACUCGACUCCAUGAAGUCGGAAUCGCUAGUAAUCGUAGAUCAGAAUGCUACGGUGAAUACGUUCCCGGGCCUUGUACACACCGCCCGUCACACCAUGGGAGUGGGUUGCAAAAGAAGUAGGUAGCUUAACCUUCGGGAGGGCGCUACCACUUGAUUACGG
This 1441-nucleotide ribosomal RNA is filed under the name Klebsiella pneumoniae. Its description in RNAcentral is "bacterial SSU rRNA". It matches the Rfam family "Bacterial small subunit ribosomal RNA". The record is from RNAcentral. Lineage: Bacteria; Pseudomonadati; Pseudomonadota; Gammaproteobacteria; Enterobacterales; Enterobacteriaceae.